RNAcentral lists this long non-coding RNA (266 nucleotides) under Homo sapiens (human). Its description in RNAcentral is "LNC_000721". Lineage: Eukaryota; Metazoa; Chordata; Mammalia; Primates; Hominidae. The record is from RNAcentral.
GCUUUUGGAAGUGGUAUGGGUAUUGCAAGGAACCCAGAAAGACACCCAAAGCCAGAAUCAUUGCUGCAUUCAGGAUCUGGAUGGCCCCAAGAACUUGUAAUUUUGCUUUCUGAUAAUCUGGUGAUCCAUCUAUGGGCUGGUAGACAGAAGUAUUCAGCUCUUCUGGUCCCGCCUCACUGCCUGGGGUACCAUGGGCAGAGGCUGACCCCAGCUCUGCAUUAUCAACUUCGUGGGAGGCCAUUGGGGUUGUUUAUGGCUUGGAGGCU